GUGGGUAGUUUGACUGGGGCGGUCUCCUCCCAAAGCGUAACGGAGGAGCACGAAGGUUAGCUAAUCCUGGUCGGACAUCAGGAGGUUAGUGCAAUGGCAUAAGCUAGCUUGACUGCGAGCGUGACGGCGCGAGCAGGUGCGAAAGCAGGUCAUAGUGAUCCGGUGGUUCUGAAUGGAAGGGCCAUCGCUCAACGGAUAAAAGGUACUCCGGGGAUAACAGGCUGAUACCGCCCAAGAGUUCAUAUCGACGGCGGUGUUUGGCACCUCGAUGUCGGCUCAUCACAUCCUGGGGCUGAAGUAGGUCCCAAGGGUAUGGCUGUUCGCCAUUUAAAGUGGUACGCGAGCUGGGUUUAGAACGUCGUGAGACAGUUC
This 372-nucleotide ribosomal RNA is filed under the name Klebsiella pneumoniae. RNAcentral describes it as "partial 23S ribosomal RNA". It matches the Rfam family "Bacterial large subunit ribosomal RNA", at positions 2261 to 2632 of the family's 2925-position model. The record is from RNAcentral. Lineage: Bacteria; Pseudomonadati; Pseudomonadota; Gammaproteobacteria; Enterobacterales; Enterobacteriaceae.